Long non-coding RNA from Cydia fagiglandana, 329 nucleotides. RefSeq lists it as uncharacterized. Lineage: Eukaryota; Metazoa; Arthropoda; Insecta; Lepidoptera; Tortricidae. The record is from RefSeq and is a predicted model, not a curated record. The transcript has 3 exons.
GUGGUCCUUGGACAACGUGGAUCCGUGUUUCCAGGGUAACAAUUUGGCGUAGUAGGCGUGGGGGGUUUGGGGCAACGAGGAUCAGUUGAUCCGGGGUAGCAGUUUGGUGGAGCAGGAGUUGUGGGUCUUGGGCAACGUGGAUCCGUGGAUCCAGGGUAACAAUUGGGACGGGCAGUGGUUGUAGGCACAGGGGUGGUCCUUGGACAACGUGGAUCCGUGUUUCCAGGGUAACAGUUUGGGGGUGCAGGUGUAGAUGGUCUUGGGCAACGUGGAUCUGUGGAUCCAGGGUAGCAAUUAGGACGAGCAGUGGUUGUAGGUGCAGGGGUGGU